This 254-nucleotide ribosomal RNA is filed under the name uncultured bacterium. Its description in RNAcentral is "partial 16S ribosomal RNA". It matches the Rfam family "Bacterial small subunit ribosomal RNA", at positions 524 to 776 of the family's 1533-position model. The record is from RNAcentral.
UACGGGGGGGGCAAGCGUUGUUCGGAAUUACGGGGCGUAAAGGGCUCGUAGGCGGCCAACUAAGUCGGAUGUGAAAUCCCCAGGCUUAACCUGGGAACUGCAUCCGAUACUGUAUGGCUUGAAUCCGGGAGAGGGAUGCAGAAUUCCAGGUGUAGCGGUGAAAUGCGUAGAUAUCUGGAGGAAUACCGGUGGCGAAGGCGGCAUCCUGGACCGGCAUUGACGCUGAGUGAGCGAAAGCCAGGGGAGCAAACGGG